CUAAUACCGAAUAAUGCAGCGGCACCUAAUGGUGACAGUUGUUAAAGCGGGGGGAUCGAAAGACCUCGCGUCUGAAGAGGAGCCUGCGGCAGAUUAGCUAGGUUGGUAAGGUAACGGCUUACCAAGGCGAUGAUCUGUAGCCGGCCUGAGAGGGCGGUCGGCCACACUGACACUGACAUACGGGUCAGACUCCUACGGGAGGCANUCAGUCGGGAAUUUUGGGCAAUGGGCGAAAGCCUGACCCAGCAACGCCGCGUGAAGGAUGAAAUCCUUCGGGAUGUAAACUUCGCAAGAACGGGAAGAAUAAGUAAGGGUUAAUAUCUCUUACGAUGACGGUACUGUUUGUAAGCUCCGGCUAACUCC
RNAcentral lists this ribosomal RNA (363 nucleotides) under uncultured bacterium. Its description in RNAcentral is "bacterial SSU rRNA". It matches the Rfam family "Bacterial small subunit ribosomal RNA", at positions 163 to 504 of the family's 1533-position model. The record is from RNAcentral.